This 273-nucleotide ribosomal RNA is filed under the name uncultured bacterium. RNAcentral describes it as "partial 16S ribosomal RNA". It matches the Rfam family "Bacterial small subunit ribosomal RNA", at positions 524 to 796 of the family's 1533-position model. The record is from RNAcentral.
UACAGAGGUCUCAAGCGUUGUUCGGAUUCAUUGGGCGUAAAGGGUGCGUAGGUGGCGACGCAAGUCUGGUGUGAAAUCCCGGGGCUCAACCCCGGAACUGCACUGGAUACUGCGUUGCUAGAGCACUGGAGAGGGAACUGGAAUUUACGGUGUAGCAGUGAAAUGCGUAGAUAUCGUAAGGAAGACCAGUGGCGAAGGCGAGUUCCUGGACAGUUGCUGACACUGAGGCACGAAGGCCAGGGGAGCAAACGGGAUUAGAUACCCUCGUAGUCC